UGGGGAAUAUUGGACAAUGGGCGGAAGCCUGAUCCAGCCAUGCCGCGUGUGUGAAGAAGGCCUUUGGGUUGUAAAGCACUUUAAGCGAGGAGGAGGCUACUUGGAUUAAUACUCUAGGAUAGUGGACGUUACUCGCAGAAUAAGCACCGGCUAACUCUGUGCCAGCAGCCGCGGUAAUACAGAGGGUGCGAGCGUUAAUCGGAUUUACUGGGCGUAAAGCGUGCGUAGGCGGCUUCUUAAGUCGGAUGUGAAAUCCCUGAGCUUAACUUAGGAAUUGCAUUCGAUACUGGGAAGCUAGAGUAUGGGAGAGGAUGGUAGAAUUCCAGGUGUAGCGGUGAAAUGCGUAGAGAUCUGGAGGAAUACCGAUGGCGAAGGCAGCCAUCUGGCCUAAUACUGACGCUGAGGUACGAAAGCAUGGGGAGCAAACAGG
RNAcentral lists this ribosomal RNA (430 nucleotides) under bacterium. RNAcentral describes it as "partial 16S ribosomal RNA". It matches the Rfam family "Bacterial small subunit ribosomal RNA", at positions 355 to 776 of the family's 1533-position model. The record is from RNAcentral.